Molecule: ribosomal RNA, 1466 nt
Filed under: uncultured Bordetella sp.
Lineage: Bacteria; Pseudomonadati; Pseudomonadota; Betaproteobacteria; Burkholderiales; Alcaligenaceae
Description: partial 16S-23S ribosomal RNA intergenic spacer
Rfam family: Bacterial small subunit ribosomal RNA
Source: RNAcentral
GGUUUGAUCCUGGCUCAGAUUGAACGCUGGCGGAUGUUUUAUACAUGCAAGUCGAACGGCAGCACGGACUUCGGUCUGGUGGCGAGUGGCGAACGGGUGAGUAAUGUAUCGGAACGUGCCUAGUAGCGGGGGAUAACUACGCGAAAGGUAGCUAAUAAUGCGCCACAGCCCUUCGGGGGAAAGCGGGGACUUUCGGGCCUCGCACUAUUAGAGCGGCCGAUAUCGGAUUAGCUAGUUGCGGGGUAACGGGCUCACCAUAUACGAUCCGUAGCUGGUUUGAGAGGACGACCAGCCACACUGGGACGAGGACAUUGCCCAGAUCACGGAGGCAGCAGUGGGGAACGGACAAUGGGGGAACCCCGAUCCAGCCAUCCCGCGUGUGCGAUGAAGGCCUUCGGGUUGUAAAGCACUUAUGUAUGGAAGAAACGGCACGGGAUAAUACCCCGCAACUGAUUGGCACCUGCAGAAUAAGCACCGGCUAACUACGUGCCAGCAGCCGCGGUAAUACGUAGGGUGCAAGCGUUAAUCGGAAUUACUGGGCGUAAAGCGUGCGCAGGCGGUUCGGAAAGAAAGAUGUGAAAUCCCAGAGCUUAACUUUGGAACUGCAUUUUUAACUACCGAGCUAGAGGUGUCGAGGAGGAAUUGCGGUAGCAGUGAAAUGCGUAGAUAUGCGUGGAGGAACACCGAUGGCGAAGGCAGCCUCCUGGGAUAACACUGACGCUCAUGCACGAGCGGGAGCAAACAGGAUUAGAUACCCCGUAGUCCACGCCCUAAACGAUGUCAACUAGCUGUUAAAUUUCGGGCCUUGGUAGCGCAGCUAACGCGUGAAGUUGACCGCCUGGGGAGUACGGUCGCAAGAUUAAAACUCAAAGCGAAUUGACGGGGACCCGCACAAGCGGUGGAUGAUGUGAUUGAUUAAUUCGAUGCAACGCGAAAAACCUUUACCUACCCUUGACAUGUCUGGAAUCCCGAAGAGAUUUGGAGUGUCGCAAGAGAACCGGAACACAGGUGCUGCAAGGCUGUCGUCAGUCAGUGUCGUGAGAUGUUGGGUUAAGUCUCGUAACGAGCGCAACCCUUGUCAUUAGUUGCCAGCGAAGUGGCGAAUUUCCAUCGAGACUGCCGGUGACAAACCGAGGGAGGUGGGGAUGACGUCAAGUCCUCAUGGCCCUUGCGGUAGGGCUUCACACGUCAUACAAUGGUCGGGACAGAGGGUCGCCAACCCGCGAGGGGAGCCAAUCCCAGAAACCCGAUCGUAGUCCGGAUCGCAGUCUGCAACUCGACUGCGUGAAGUCGGAAUCGCUAGUAAUCGCGGAUCAGCAUGUCGCGGUGAAUACGUUCCUGGCUCGGUACACGACUCGCCCGUCACACCAUGGAGUGGUUUUAUCAUGAAGUAGUUAGCCCCUAACCGUGGCGAGGGCGAUUACCACGGUAGGAUUCAUGACUGGGGUGAAGUCGUAACAAGGUAG